RNAcentral lists this ribosomal RNA (120 nucleotides) under Pteropus alecto (black flying fox). The record is from RNAcentral. Lineage: Eukaryota; Metazoa; Chordata; Mammalia; Chiroptera; Pteropodidae.
GUCUACGGCCAUGCUACCCUGAACAAGCCCAAUCCUGUGGGAUCUCGGAAGCUAAGCAGGGUCGGGCCUGGUUAGUACUUGGAUGGGAAGACCACCUAGGAAGACCACGUGCUAUAGGCG